AUUGGUGCCAAUUUGAGACAACUCAAUGUUGAGAUAUUGCUUGCCUUGUUCUAGAGGUUGCUGGAGAAAUUUUUUACUACGGUUUCAUCAGGUUUCUACAAGGUUUGUAGUUUUUUGUUUAUUUAUUUUCUGUUCUCAUCAUCUUUGGAACAUCCCACAUCUAUUUACAAUUAAUAAUCACUGCAAAACAUGGAAUUUCAAGAUGAUGAGAAGGGUUGGCUGUGUUCAUAGGAUUUCUCUCUUUUUCUCUUCAUCUAAGUCAAAACAUGUUUUCCAUGAGCAUCUCAACUUUCUAGUCACAAAAUUCAAGAAUUCCCAAGGCAGAUUUUUAUUUUGAUUUUUCACUCAAGAAGGUAUUCCAUUAGUUGCCCAACUGGAAAGCCUUCGCUCUUUCCUAUUUCUUUGUUCUCAAUCAGAUGAAAGUUUACUUGUCUAACUUCUGGCUGAAUUUCCUUCGCUGCUUGUUCCUCUGUGUAGUGAUAUUCAGGAUGUGCGAGCUGCGGUAUCUUAUAUAAUUCAACCUUCAUUGUUAAAACUAUGAUAGGUGAAAGUGGAAAAUGGAGUCACUUUCUCGGGGAACUGCUAAGCUUAAUGGUUGAAUUUAAAACAUUGUUACUAUCUGAUAAAAAUGUGCUUUUCUCGUUUUUUACAUCUGUUCUGGGCUGCUCACGCAAUAAUCUUCUAUUGCCAGAAACAAUUGGAGAAAGGUUUGAAAAAUCUAAAAAGAAUCAGAUCAUGCAUUUCAUUGUUGGCUUUGCUCUAACCUUCCUUCUUUUGCACUGCUAAACAUCCUUUCCUUGGUCAAAGGAGUGGAUGGUCAACUCUUACAUGUAAAAGAUGUUAAAAUAUUGGCUAGCAUUCUUUUGAAAAGGCGCCAUGAAUAUCAUAUUCAACAUGCAGAGUCUUGUCAAAAGUUGUCAAAGUUGUCAAAGACAGAGGAUUAUAUCCUCUGCCUUCUACUAGAGACCUGUGUAUCUUCUUCACCUGGUGAAUGUGAAGACCUACUAUUGGAGGUGCUGCAGUAGGGUGAGCCAGCCUCUAAAGAUCCAGCUGUUUUGCUGCCUUUCAUAAUUGUCUUGAGGAGUCUCACUAACUCAUCUUUUGGAGCUAUGAGUAAUAAAAAUCAGUUAUGCUUAAGUCAGAUGAUGAAGUUGAGAAUGUGAUUGCAAAAGUACAGAAUGGAAUGGCUGAAAAAUAUGUGGUUGCAGGUCAAAAGAAAAUUAUUUCAGAGGUUGUUGCUAUGAAGGUGGGAAGACCUGUCUCUCUUUCCAAGUUUGGUACCAACUGUGGAGGCCUUUUAUUUUUUUAUUAUUGAUUAUGUUUUGUUUGUAUUUCCAUCUUUCCGAACUUAACUGCAGCUUCAAGCAAUUUGAUUUAGCUAAAAAUCAGUUAGAAAGUUGUAGACAGAUGCAUGUAGAGAAGUUGUUAAAAGAAUUCAAAUAAUUUGUAUUUUAUGA
Impatiens glandulifera is the source of this 1457-nucleotide long non-coding RNA. RefSeq lists it as uncharacterized. The record is from RefSeq and is a predicted model, not a curated record. Lineage: Eukaryota; Viridiplantae; Streptophyta; Magnoliopsida; Ericales; Balsaminaceae. The transcript has 9 exons.